AUUGAACGCUGGCGGCGGGCUUAACACAUGCAAGUCGAGCGGGGGAAAGUAGCUUGCUACCGGACCUAGCGGCGGACGGGUGAGUAAUGCUUAGGAAUCUGCCUAUUAGUGGGGGACGACAUCUCGACAGGGAUGCUAAUACCGCAUACGUCCUACGGGAGAAAGCAGGGGAUCACUUGUGACCUUGCGCUAAUAGAUGAGCCUAAGUCGGAUUAGCUAGUUGGGGGGGUAAAGGCCUACCAAGGCGACGAUCUGUAGCGGGUCUGAGAGGAUGAUCCGCCACACUGGGACUGAGACACGGCCCAGACUCCUACGGGAGGCAGCAGUGGGGAAUAUUGGACAAUGGGGGGAACCCUGAUCCAGCCAUGCCGCGUGUGUGAAGAAGGCCUUUUGGUUGUAAAGCACUUUAAGCGAGGAGGAGGCUUACCUGGUUAAUACCUGGGCUAAGUGGACGUUACUCGCAGAAUAAGCACCGGCUAACUCUGUGCCAGCAGCCGCCGUAA
Molecule: ribosomal RNA, 503 nt
Filed under: uncultured bacterium
Lineage: Bacteria
Description: partial 16S ribosomal RNA
Rfam family: Bacterial small subunit ribosomal RNA
Source: RNAcentral